UCACUGAAACUUACGGAGUAUAUAAUUAUGACAUUUUGCUUUCUCACAGGUAUUUGACAGAUGCAAUUUCUACUUCCUUUCUUAUCCCUGGGCCACCUGGUACAGAUGUUACCUUCCUAAGACCGGUGCAAACAUGGGAGGUGGCUGGAAAACACAGAGUGUCUAGUAAUGCUGGCGAAGUAGCACAGGAAGAACCACAGCCUUCUGCAGGGAGACGUGCCAAAGGAACCAUACCCAGCAUGCUGCAAUUCAUGUGGCCUCAGGAGAAACAUGAAGGUAACUUCUACUGGUAAA
Molecule: long non-coding RNA, 294 nt
Filed under: Chrysolophus pictus (golden pheasant)
Lineage: Eukaryota; Metazoa; Chordata; Aves; Galliformes; Phasianidae
Description: lncRNA (ENSCPIG00010001013.1)
Source: RNAcentral